Phacochoerus africanus (Common warthog) is the source of this 1456-nucleotide long non-coding RNA. RefSeq lists it as uncharacterized. The transcript is spliced from 3 exons. The record is from RefSeq and is a predicted model, not a curated record. Lineage: Eukaryota; Metazoa; Chordata; Mammalia; Artiodactyla; Suidae.
AAACCGGGGACAGGGUGUACUUCCAGGGGCUGGAGGAUUUGCUUGCACACAAGAGAAGGGUUCGAGGCCGCUGCCUGUGAUUCAGAUUUCUGCAAAUCCAAUCAUGUUUUCAAUGACCUAAGGGGGUUUCAUUUUAAGGCAAUCCUUCAGUGAAUGCUUUUCUUAGGAUUACAGAAGCAAAAAGAUAGCCCAGGCUAUUUAGUCACCGAACCCUGAAGACCUACCAGACCUAUCAGGUCGCAGGGACUGGGAGACAGAGAAAGAGGAGGAAAACGGCGUGCUGGACCUCAGUCCAGGGGUGCAGAUACUUACACACAUGACCUGAUGACAGCUCGGUUUGGAAAGGCAGGUGGAAAGAACCGAGUGAAAGGAGAGGAUGAUGAAUGAAACACACUAAGUGACGGAUUUGAUUAAGAAGGUCCCGUGGAGUUUCCACUGUGGCUCAGCAGGGCCAUCCUCUCCCGACUUCCAGCAUAUUCCCCCGUGGUCACAGAGCAAGCGGAGCGGGCAGCGGCUGGGUUCUCUCCACCCCAAGUCAACCAAGUACAUUAACGCCUGCGGCCUGGGUAUCCCCCAGAUCCUGCCCUGGGGCCCUUGGCCUCUUUCUUCAUCUCCAACGCCUUUGCUCACCUCGCUUGGCUAAAGGCAACAUCAUCCCCACUCUGCACAAGAAACCGUGCCACCCUGGCAAGCUGGCCAGCCCUCCUGUCCUCCGUGGGGCCUUCGGCUGACCCCUCCCUCCCUUCCCACCUGGCGCAGCCCCAGCAUCAGCAGCCCUUGUCACCACAUCCCCCUCCCACCCUCCCUGUCCUCAACUUUGCGAGGGGGACCCACGCUCCAGCCCCACUCCACUGGGAGCUUCUUGAAGCAAGGCCCGUGCCCAAGUCACCUCCGUUGGCCCAGCACCGAGCAGGAGGCCUGGUGGCACUUUAACACAGGAGGCUGCCCCCAGGCUUGCCGCAUGCUGGGCCCGGACGCAGGAGCAGCUCUCACAUCCUCGUGCUGACGAGCGCCCUGGCAUGGCUGCCAGUUCAGGGUCUGUGACUCAAGCCAGGCCCUCAGGGUAUCUUGGCAAUGCAUGUCCCUUAACUGGCUCCCUUUGUCGCCUGACAUUACUCCUUCCAACCCUCAGCUGUCUCGCUGGCUCCCCACUCUCUCAGCACAGGCCCCCUCGGCCCCCUCACGUGUGGGGUAAGAACAGCAAUGACAGCUGACGCGAACCAGGAGCUAAGUUCAUACCCUCUCUGUCCCGCUUUUCCCCGCCACCCUGCCAUUAGGAAUCAUUAUCCUCAGCCAAAUAUUCUGUACAAAGGUUUGCCGAAAUGUAAUUUAUAAUAGCAAAGACCUGGAGUCCACCUUAAUAUCCAUCAGAAAUCAUGCAUUCAAAACAAGUUUAAUUACAUAAGAAAAUACACUGUUAUAUAAACAGAAUAAAGAUACAUCAGCUUGGAGUUCA